GGAAUAAGAAGCUUCCACAAUCCAUUGCUUCAGUCACCACCUCCAGUAACAUUAAGUAAAGCAGAAAUGUUUGGGAGCAUGAGAGAGCAUAUGGUAAAAGCUUACCCUCUCUGUCUCCCUGUUUACAUUUCAGUGUUCUGAAAAAGCAAUUAUUUAUUUAAAAUCCUGAAACAAGAAAAAUUUUUUUUUAAUCUUUGCAUUUGCACUUGAUUGCAAACUCCUAUUGAAGAUUUUUAUAUGAAUAGAGCAUCUGCUGGAUAUCCUGUCCAGAUGGAAUCUCCAGUAAAGGACAUACUCAUCUCUAUCAUUCUUGUCAGCAAGUAACCAGAAGGAAGAGAUUUAUAAAGCAGAUGUCAGAAUGUCAAAUCUGCCUUCAGCUGAUUUUCUGUAAGUUUAUUAUCAUAUGAACUACUGUGUUCAAGGAUAUAUAAAAAAGCCCAAAGUUUUGUUUGC
This 453-nucleotide long non-coding RNA is filed under the name Parus major (Great Tit). Its description in RNAcentral is "lncRNA (ENSPMJG00000011090.1)". Lineage: Eukaryota; Metazoa; Chordata; Aves; Passeriformes; Paridae. The record is from RNAcentral.